AAAAAGGCAAACCCUGGGUUUCCGUGUCCAACUUUGACUGUUCGUCUUAUAUGAAAUUUUUUUAUAAUUCGUAUUUCCAUUGUUGUUAGAUGAUAAAACAUGAUUAAUAUUUUAUGCGUGACUUGUCUUUUAAUUUUUUUUUAUAAUUUUUUUAAAUAAGGCGGACGGUCGAACGUUGGACACGGAAACCAGGGUU
This 196-nucleotide microRNA precursor is filed under the name Oryza rufipogon (brownbeard rice). RNAcentral's name for it is "MIR812 microRNA precursor family". It matches the Rfam family "MIR812 microRNA precursor family". Lineage: Eukaryota; Viridiplantae; Streptophyta; Magnoliopsida; Poales; Poaceae. The record is from Rfam by way of RNAcentral.